This is a long non-coding RNA of Conger conger (European conger), 750 nucleotides long. RefSeq lists it as uncharacterized. The transcript is spliced from 3 exons. NCBI's taxonomy places the organism in Eukaryota, Metazoa, Chordata, Actinopteri, Anguilliformes, Congridae. The record is from RefSeq and is a predicted model, not a curated record.
UUAGUGAAUUAGUUACGUGAAUACAAGUGACUGUUAGUUAGUGAGACAAACAAUCAGUGUAUUAAUCGGAUUAGUACUGUACAAUAUCUAGAUCAGUAGUAGUUAGUAAGAAUAGUGCUUUACAACAUUUAACUACCAAGAGCAGAGGAAGUAAGAAUUGCGAAUGUUGAAAGCCCGAAACUGCCGUAAACUAAAAUAGUGGGACACGCAGACACGGGAGUGACUAGGCUGGUAAACAUUCAGACGCAGACAUAACAGGGGAUAACAAAUGAGAACUGUAAUGGAAAACAAUAACCAAGGAUGUAUGAAAAAUGAAUAAAUAACAAGAAUAAACAUGAAUACAAACAGGACAGAUACAGAAACAUUACACCACCGCUGUGUACGUGACUGUUUUAAUUUCUCUGCAAACACCGAGUCGGAAUCCUGCCAGCCAAACACACUAAGCUGUAUUUGUUGCUUGCAGAACAGCUGAGGGAAAGCUCGGUGAAAUCAGUCAGGUUCAGUUUCGUUUCUCUGUAAAUGCAGCCAGACAGUAGUGUAUAUAAAGGACUGUCAGGACACUGCAACUAGAACCUUCUGUGACCUACAGGGAUUCAGAGGCCGCCAUCUUGGAGAGCCUGAGCCCCAGCUGUCACUCAAACGGAGAGGAGGCAGAGCCUCCGGAGCUCACCGAACAGAUGGGCGGAGACCUCCGCCAGACCACACUCUAUCAGCUCAAGGGUGGUUUAACCAAGAUAUGUAUGACCCAGG